This 861-nucleotide ribosomal RNA is filed under the name uncultured Neocallimastigales. RNAcentral's name for it is "partial large subunit ribosomal RNA". It matches the Rfam family "Eukaryotic large subunit ribosomal RNA", at positions 1 to 628 of the family's 3401-position model. The record is from RNAcentral. Lineage: Eukaryota; Fungi; Neocallimastigomycota; Neocallimastigomycetes; Neocallimastigales.
GGUACACGCUGUGACUAGCAUAUCAAUAAGCGGAGGAAAAGAGGGCUAUUACCUACGCUUAGGAUGUUGACGAGACUGUCGAUCUCAUACAUGACUCUGUGCAUAUCAAUAAGCGGAGGAAAAGAAACUAACAAGGAUUCCCCUAGUAACGGCGAGUGAAGCGGGAAGAGCUCAAAUUUGAAAUCUUAAAGGGUUUCCCUUUACGAAUUGUAGUUUAAAGAAGUGUUUUCUGUUGAGGUUUUGGUAAAAGUUCUUUGGAAUAGGACAUCAUAGAGGGUGAGAAUCCCGUAUUUGACCUUUACUUUCAACUUUGUGAUACACUUUCAAAGAGUCGGAUUGUUUGGGAAUGCAGUCCAAAAUGGGUGGUAAAUUUCAUCUAAAGCUAAAUAUUGGCGAGAGACCGAUAGCGAACAAGUACCGUGAGGGAAAGAUGAAAAGAACUUUGAAAAGAGAGUUAAACAGUACGUGAAAUUGUCAAAAGGGAAGCGUUUGACACCAGUGUUGUUUUUCUGAAAAUCAAUUAAAGAACUGUUUAUGCUAAGCUGUUUAGACUUUAUCAGCUAAUCCUGUUUAGUUUUGAGCUUUUCUUUAAUGCACUUUUCAGUUAACAAGUCAACAUCAAUUUCUUUUGCUGUAGAAAAAGCUUGAGGAAGGUGGCUUGAGAUUCGUCUUAAGUGUUUAUAGCCUCUUGCCUAUGCAGUCGGAGAGAUUGAGGUCUGCAGCGUAGAUCCUUCGGGGCUAAAUGCAUUUGUGCUAAGUUAUAGCAUUUUAUAGACAACUUGUUGACUAUGAUUUGUCUUGUAGCUUACUCGCUUAUGUUAUUUUACCUACGCUUAGGAUGUUGAGUCGUAGAGCACGCAG